Molecule: long non-coding RNA, 3286 nt
Organism: Phragmites australis (common reed)
Lineage: Eukaryota; Viridiplantae; Streptophyta; Magnoliopsida; Poales; Poaceae
Exons: 5
Source: RefSeq, a predicted model, not a curated record
CGGUAUCGGUUGCUGCAGCUCCUGCCGGCCCUAAGCGCACGGUGCCACACGGCCACGCUCCAUUGUUGCUCGGGUCGACCACGAUGCCUAGGGUCACUCCGCUCGGACUCCGCCAUCGCCGCCUUCGAUUCUCUCUAAUCAUUCGUCUCUUACAGGGACGGUAGCCAAUGUAAAAGUUCUCAAAAGCUUUCGUUUCCUGUACUCUGUGCUGACGAAUAGAGCCCGAGACAUGAGUGGGGGUGUAGAGCCGGAGGCCACGCCCGGUAGCAGCAGCGGCGGUAGCAAGCCGCUGGGCGGCUAGCCACUGCAGCACCACCUGACGUCCAUCCGCCACUGCGCCAGCAGCGCCCGCAUCGCCGAGGCCUCCGCAGAAUUUGUAACUGAGCUGGAUUCAGGGACACUGAGCUUGAUCUCGCCCACAUACAUCCGUCCGGGCUUCCUGCCUGUGUUCCGGUCAGGGAGCUGCGCGGAUAUCGGGCUCAAAUCGUACAUGGAGGACGAACAUGUCUGCGUCGAGUGGCGACAACCUCGUCGGGCACCUCCUAUUGCGUACUCCAGGCAUGCCUGCACCGGGUGCCUUCUAUUGGGUGUUUGAUGGCCAUGGCGGUACAGAUGCUGCCUGUUUUGUUCGGAAGAAUAUAAUUAAGUUAAUAACCGAAGAUUGCCACUUCCCCAACAGCAUGGAGAAUGCGUUCGUAAAGGCUGAUCGGGCAAUUACGGAUUCUCAUUCUCUUGACCGUAAUUCUGGGACCACAGCAUUGACGGUCCUUAUAUUCGGCAAGUAAACUCUCAAGCUAAGAGCAUCUACAACAGUACAUGGCAGCUAGGGAAUUGAAGUGGAUGAAUCAAAAAUUGAAGCCAUCAAGAGCUGGCCGAUCUCGGAGACUAUUACACAGGUGAGAAGUUUUCAUGGUCUUGCAGGGUUUUAUCAGCAUUUUGUGAGAGAUUUCAGCACCAUUGCUGCGCCCCUUAAUGAGUUGACAAAAAAGGGUAUUCCAUUCCAUUGGGGUCCAGCACAAGAAGAAGCUUUUAACACGCUGAAAGAGAAGCUUACACGUGCACCUCUACUCCAACUUCCGAACUUUGGUAAGAAUUUUGAGUUAGAAUGUGAUGCUAGCGGAAUUGGAAUCGGAGGAGUGUUACUUCAAGAAUGUAAACCCGUUGCUUACUUUAGUGAGAAAUUAUAUGGGCUAUCUCUGAAUUAUUCGACUUAUGAUAAGGAAUUGUAUGCUUUAGUUCGAGUUUUAGAAACAUGGCAACACUAUCUUUGGCCUAAGGAGUUUAUUAUUCAUUCUGAUCAUGAAUCUUUGAAGCACAUUAGAAGUCAAGCUAUACUGAAUAAAUGACAUGCUAAAUGGGUUGAGUUCAUAGAAUCUUUUCCAUACAUAAUUAAACACAAGAAAGGUAAAGACAAUGUCAUUGCGGAUGCAUUAUCUAGACGUUACACCAUGUUCCCAACUAGAUCACAAAAUCUUUGGUUUAGAAACAAUAAAAGGGUUGUAUGCAACUGAUUCGGACUUUAAAGAUGCUUUUCAAAAUUGUAAAGAAGGGAGAACUUGGACUAAGUAUGUGCUGAAUGAUGGACUUCUUUAUCGCGCUAAUAAGCUAUGCAUUCCAGCUAGCUCCGUUCGUCUUUUGUUUUUACAGGAGGCGCAUGGAGGAGGUUUGAUGGGACAUUUUGGAGUGAAGAAAACUGAAGAUGUGCUGGCCACUCAUUUAUUUUGGCCAAAGAUGAGACGUGAUAUCGAGCGCUACGUGUCACGCUGCACUACUUGCAAUAAAGCUAAGUCUCGCUUGAAUCCACAUGAUCUUUAUAUGCCUCUUCCUGUUCCUAGUGUACCUUAGGAGGAUAUUUCUAUGGACUCUGUUUUAGGAUUGCCUAGGACAAAGAGGGGGAGGGAUAGUAUAUUUGUAGUGGUGGAUCAUUUUUCUAAAAUGGAACAUUUUAUACCUUGUCACAAGAGUGAUGAUGCUACACACAUAGCUGAUUUAUUUUUCAGGGAGAUUAUAUGCUUACAUGGAGUGCAAAAUACCAUUGUCUCUGAUCGUGAUGCAAAGUUUUUGAGUCGUUUUUGGAGGACAUUAUGGAAUAAAUUGGGGACAAAGAUGUUGUUCUCUACUGCAUGUCAUCCCCAAACUGAUGGAUAAAUGGAGGUUGUUAAUCGCACAUUAUCUACUAUGUUGCAGGCUAUUUUAAAGAAGAAUUUGAAGAUGUGGGAAGAGUAUUUGCCUCAUAUUGAGUUCGCUUACAACAGAUCCGUCCACUCCACCACCAAGGUAAGUCCGUUUCAGGUAGUGUAUGGUUUCAAUCGUCGUGCUCCUAUUGAUUUACUACCUUUACCUCCUUCUGAAAUUCUGAAUUUGGAUGCUACACAACGUGCUGAAUUUAUUCUAAAGAUGCAUGAAACAACUAAAGAAAAUAUUAAAGAUGAAUGAGAAAUAUAGAGCUUAUGGUAGCCAGGGUAGAAAACAUUAAACUUUUGAACAUGGUGAUCUUGUUUAGUUACACUUGCGUAAAGAUCGAUUUCCUGAGUUGAGAAAAUCUAAAUUGGUGCCUCGAGCUUAUGGUCCUUUUAAAGUUCUUGAGAAGAUUAAUGAUAAUACAUAUAAGCUUGAGUUGCCUGCAGAUUUUAGGGUUAGUCCCACAUUUAACAUUUCAGAUUUAAAACUAUAUGUUGGAGAGGAAGAUGAGGUUGCGUCGAGGGAAACUCCAAUUCAAGAGGGGGAGGAUGAUGAGGACAUCACUAAUUUAGAUACACGCGCUACAAGUGAUCCUCCGAUGAUUCAUCCAUUACAAGGACCGAUUACACGGGCUCGUGCACGUCGUUUAACUUAUGAGGAAUAUGGGAGAAGCACCUAUGGAACAGCCAAGUCGGACGGGGCUCAAGCAAACUUCAAGUCGGAGUCGGAACUCGGUUCGGAUUCAGCAGACAGCGCCGCACUAAAAUGAUCAUAACUACUUCAUAUGGAGUCAAAAUAAGGUGUUCUUUGAUGCGUUGGAAAGCUAAGGACAACAACUUUGUUUUGGUACUGGUCCCAGAUCCAGAUUCAUGGUGGAUUAUUUUGUGUCAUCAAAACAAUGUGCGGUGUCACAAUUUUGGGCCAUAUCAGGCCUUGUAAAUGUGUUCAGGUCUAAGACCAAGUUGUGGACGCCCCCUGGUCACCCAAAACCUAGCACGCCCCUCUUCAUAUAUCUAGCAGCCGUCAUCAUAGACUUUUUAGGUUUUACUUAGAUUAAUUUGUCAUUGAACAGUUUUGCUGUCAUUCGGUUUGUGAAACCCCAACU